GAAAUUAUGCCAUCUUUCUGCUUUUCUGGAUAACCAACUUCAAAUCUGAACCAGACAAAAUAAAGCCAGGGAAGAACUAGUAGGUUGAAUCUCCUAAGGAGCAAAAAGAAGGCAUCAUUUGCUAGAAUAUUAGAAUAUUUUUAAAAAUUAGAUGAUUUUGCUUCAGAUCACCUGAACUGUCCCUGGCCCUGACCUGUGUGUGACUGAUCCUCUCCCUGCAGCACUGCUCUUCUCUUGGCUGGUGUGAAUGCACCUCCUCAGGUGAAACCCUGGCUUGAACUUGACCUGCCCAGAUUCCAGAAGGCAAAGGAAUCCCAGGAGAGGAGAAGGAAAGCAUUUCCUAAACCAGACCAACAGCACAGCACACUCAGCUUGGGCUCAGAUUCCUUUCCCUACCCAGAGAGUGACCUGUCACCCAAAGCUGCUGGUGCUUUAGACCAUUUGAUCUGGCCAUCAUGGCAUUGUGGGCAUGCUCCAGGCUUUUGCUUUCCCUGGGGCUGAAAACACACCCAUUUCAAAACAAACCUAAACCAUAGGUGGGACCCUUCUGUGCCUGCCUGCCAUCCAUCCUCCCUUCUCCCUUCCCACCUGCCUCUUUCCUUCACAUUUCUUCAAGAAGAUUUUGGUGGAGAUCUAUCAUGCAAAAACCUAGGUGACACAUCUUUGGAAGCACUGGUGUCCUGCAGAGCUGGACAUCCACACAAGGAUUUCUGCCUCUUUAACCAAACUGCUCCUGGACCGUGUGUGUGCUCACUUCCUCACCAUGUAGAUUCACAACGGGGCCCUGCAAAACCAUUGGAGUGUCUCGAGUCACAGCUCACAAGUAGCAUUCUGAAGCCAAGUGAUUCUUCCCGUAAACAAAAGUGGUUUGCAGGAGCUUGAUUCGGGAAGACAUGACGGCACUGGGUACGUUGCAUUGCGAACUGUUCAGCUGUGUGAGCCUGUGUGUACUGAGGCGUUAAUGCAGAACUGCUGGGCAUUGGGCCCAGAACAGAUGUGAUGAUGAGUGAGAGCAAAGAGACAGGGAGGAAGGAGAAGAAGAAGCACAUUUUAGGCUUCUCAGUUCCUGCCUAGACAACCACUGCUUCCAAAACCUGGGAACCGUCCCCAAAUACCUCUUAUCAAGAGAAAGUAGAAAGCAACAUGAUCUGUGGAGAAAACAAACAUAUUUGCUUUUUUCAUUUGCCAAUCCUGCAAACAAUACCUGUUUGUAGGCAAAUAAUCUUCAGGUCUGCAUCACCAGAUCAAUGCAGGGAGUGGUUCCCAUCGGCUCUGUGGUGCCAGACACACUGAAUGGUUUGUAAGGAAACAGGCCCUUGAACUUCUCCACAGCACAGACACUAUCUUAGUAGGUUAUCUCACACUUGCUUCUGUUCCUGCUCCCAUUCUCCUCAUCUUCCAAUGCUUGGCCUAGCACAGAAAAGCGAAGACUAGAUGAAAUAGACCUUGUUUUAAUAGAAAAGGCUUCAAAACGUUCAGCUGUUUGUUAUUUCCCUGCCACUUACUUUUCCAAUUUACUUUUGGAGCCAGGCUAGCUGAAGGAAAGGCCAAUCCUUGUGCACAGUCGCAGUUUAAUACCUCUGAUAUGCAUGAAGAAAAUUAAUUUGACUGAGGAUUUUGCUUCAUGAAGUAAUUACAGCACAAAGCAUAAAAAGGCUGUGUUUUGUCUUGAGCCGCCAAAGUCCUGGUUUGCAUCAUGAGGUCAUGUUUAGGAUUACAAAUGUUUGCACAAAUAGCAUCUUACAGUAUCUCACAUCGCCUCUCUCCACUUUUGCUAAUGGGACUUUUGGAGGUGCAGGGGAACAGGAAAAGAAACUGUUCUUCAGUCCCAGAUGUGUUAAAAUUGAAGCUUAAACCCACAGGGCACGAGAAGGGCACCACA
Molecule: long non-coding RNA, 1882 nt
Filed under: Zonotrichia albicollis (white-throated sparrow)
Lineage: Eukaryota; Metazoa; Chordata; Aves; Passeriformes; Passerellidae
Description: lncRNA (ENSZALG00000005828.1)
Source: RNAcentral